ACUCAGUUUCCCUUUCUUCUUCAUCUGUCUUCUCUCUACCCUUUCACAAAUUUCAACCGUUGCAUUGUCAAAUAAGUGGUGUUCCUACGUUCCCGGAGUUGAGAGCUUCCCAUCCAUCCGAUUAGAUUUUCGUUCUUCAGCGGAUGUUGUUGAAGAGAUACUUUUGGAGCAAGUACUGGAGGAUGCUGAUGCUGCUGUGUAGUCUACAUAGGAUUACCCCUCUUAGAACUCAUGUCAUUUUGAAUACGCUAAACUGUUUAAGUUUAAAUUCUGUCUUCAUUUAUGGAUGACGGUAAUCCCAUACUUAAACGCAA
Molecule: long non-coding RNA, 314 nt
Organism: Vigna angularis (adzuki bean)
Lineage: Eukaryota; Viridiplantae; Streptophyta; Magnoliopsida; Fabales; Fabaceae
Exons: 2
Source: RefSeq, a predicted model, not a curated record